CAGGUGGUGCAUGGCUGUCGUCAGCUCGUGUCGUGAGAUGUUGCGUUAAGUCCCGCAACGAGCGCAACCCUCGUCCUAUGUUGCCAGCGGGUAAUGCCGGGGACUCAUAGGAGACUGCCGGGGUCAACUCGGAGGAAGGUGGGGAUGACGUCAAGUCAUCAUGCCCCUUAUGUCCAGGGCUUCACGCAUGCUACAAUGCCCGGUACAAAGGGCUGCGAUCCCGCAAGGGGGAGCGAAUCCCAAAAAGCCGGUCUCAGUUCGGAUGGGGGUCUGCAACUCGACCCCAUGAAGUGGGAGUGUUAGUCAUCGCAGAUCAUCAACGCCGCGGUGACCACGUCCCCG
This 342-nucleotide ribosomal RNA is filed under the name uncultured actinomycete. RNAcentral describes it as "bacterial SSU rRNA". It matches the Rfam family "Bacterial small subunit ribosomal RNA", at positions 1035 to 1376 of the family's 1533-position model. Lineage: Bacteria; Bacillati; Actinomycetota; Actinomycetes; Actinomycetales. The record is from RNAcentral.